Molecule: long non-coding RNA, 497 nt
Organism: Phyllopteryx taeniolatus (common seadragon)
Lineage: Eukaryota; Metazoa; Chordata; Actinopteri; Syngnathiformes; Syngnathidae
Exons: 2
Source: RefSeq, a predicted model, not a curated record
GUCGGUCGGGUUUUGAGCUUUGUGGUGCAACCUGACAAGUAAGGCUAACUAACGGUGGCCACUGAGCCGCACAUAUUUUGGACUGAUUCGGUGACACCGGCGGCGGACGGAGUCCGGCUGUUGUCUUGACCACGUAUCAUGUCCCGUGUCAAGAGCCACGAAGGCCUACUUCCUGUUCUGACCUCCCAACGUUUGUUGUAACUUGACCUCUCUCAUGGCUGAUGUCAGUGUGCUCUGUGCUGAGAGAAAACAACAUGUUAGCUUCAUUCAAGACUAAUGGGAACGGGGUCACUUGUUUGUCUAUGUUAUAUGUUUAUAUGUGCCCUGACGUUGACUGGAAACCAGUCCAGGGUUUACCCCGCCUCUCCCUCAAUCAGCUGGAAUAGACUCCAGCUCACCCUAAUUGACCCUAAUGAGGACAAACGCCAUAGAAAAUGGACGGAUGGGUGGUGAAAUGGGCUUUAAACAUACUUGACAAUAAACAGAAUUGAUCAUCA